RNAcentral lists this ribosomal RNA (484 nucleotides) under uncultured bacterium. Its description in RNAcentral is "partial 16S ribosomal RNA". It matches the Rfam family "Bacterial small subunit ribosomal RNA", at positions 30 to 507 of the family's 1533-position model. The record is from RNAcentral.
AUUGAACGCUGGCGGCAGGCCUAACACAUGCAAGUCGAGCGGAUGAAGGGAGCUUGCUCCUGGAUUCAGCGGCGGACGGGUGAGUAAUGCCUAGGAAUCUGCCUGGUAGUGGGGGAUAACGUCCGGAAACGGGCGCUAAUACCGCAUACGUCCUGAGGGAGAAAGUGGGGGAUCUUCGGACCUCACGCUAUCAGAUGAGCCUAGGUCGGAUUAGCUAGUUGGUGGGGUAAAGGCCUACCAAGGCGACGAUCCGUAACUGGUCUGAGAGGAUGAUCAGUCACACUGGAACUGAGGCACGGUCCAGACUCCUACGGGAGGCAGCAGUGGGGAAUAUUGGACAAUGGGCGAAAGCCUGAUCCAGCCAUGCCGCGUGUGUGAAGAAGGUCUUCGGAUUGGAAAGCACUUUAAGUUGGGAGGAAGGGCAGUAAGUUAAUACCUUGCUGUUUUGACGUUACCAACAGAAUAAGCACCGGCUAACUUCGUG